CCUACGGGAGGCAGCAGUGGGGAAUAUUGGACAAUGGGGGGAACCCUGAUCCAGCCAUGCCGCGUGUGUGAAGAAGGCCCUCGGGUUGUAAAGCACUUUCAGUGAGGAAGAACGCCUGGUGGUUAAUACCCAUCAGGAAAGACAUCACUCACAGAAGAAGCACCGGCUAACUCCGUGCCAGCAGCCGCGGUAAUACGGAGGGUGCGAGCGUUAAUCGGAAUUACUGGGCGUAAAGCGCGCGUAGGUGGCUUGAUAAGCCGGUUGUGAAAGCCACGGGCUCAACCUGGGAACGGCAUCCGGAACUGUCAAGCUAGAGUGCAGGAGAGGAAGGUAGAAUUCCCGGUGUAGCGGUGAAAUGCGUAGAGAUCGGGAGGAAUACCAGUGGCGAAGGCGGCCUUCUGGACUGACACUGACACUGAGGUGCGAAAGCGUGGGUAGCAAACAGGAUUAGAUACCCGUGUAGUC
This 465-nucleotide ribosomal RNA is filed under the name Vreelandella stevensii. RNAcentral's name for it is "partial 16S ribosomal RNA". It matches the Rfam family "Bacterial small subunit ribosomal RNA", at positions 338 to 795 of the family's 1533-position model. Lineage: Bacteria; Pseudomonadati; Pseudomonadota; Gammaproteobacteria; Oceanospirillales; Halomonadaceae. The record is from RNAcentral.